GCCCUUGUAGCUCAAUGGUAGAGCUCCGGCCUGGAAAGCCAAAGGCCAAUGGCUCGAUCUCCGCCCGGGACA
Molecule: transfer RNA, 72 nt
Filed under: Phytophthora infestans (potato late blight agent)
Lineage: Eukaryota; Oomycota; Peronosporomycetes; Peronosporales; Peronosporaceae
Description: tRNA-Ser
Rfam family: tRNA (bases 1-54)
About the family: Transfer RNA (tRNA) molecules are approximately 80 nucleotides in length. Their secondary structure includes four short double-helical elements and three loops (D, anti-codon, and T loops).
Source: RNAcentral